RNAcentral lists this ribosomal RNA (326 nucleotides) under uncultured eukaryote. Its description in RNAcentral is "partial 18S ribosomal RNA". It matches the Rfam family "Eukaryotic small subunit ribosomal RNA", at positions 1470 to 1796 of the family's 1831-position model. The record is from RNAcentral.
CCCCUAGACGUUCUGGGCUGCACGCGCGCUACAAUAAUACGCACAGCGAGUAUCACCGAGCUCGAAAGGGCAAGGUAAACAAUAGAAAAGGUACUGUAAUGGUUAUAGAUCCUUGUAAUUAUUGAUCUUCAACGAGGAAUUCCUAGUAAGUAUGUGUCAUCAUCACGCACUGAUUACGUCCCUGCCCUUUGUACACACCGCCCGUCGCUCCUACCGAUUGGGUGGUCCGGUGAAGCCUCGGGAUUGUGGUUCUUGCCGCUUUAUUGUGGCGUGACCGCGAGAACUUGUCUAAACCUUAUCAUCUAGAGGAAGGUGAAGUCGUAACA